This 429-nucleotide ribosomal RNA is filed under the name uncultured bacterium. Its description in RNAcentral is "bacterial SSU rRNA". It matches the Rfam family "Bacterial small subunit ribosomal RNA", at positions 355 to 775 of the family's 1533-position model. The record is from RNAcentral.
UGGGGAAUAGUGGGCAAUGGGCGAAAGCCUGACCCAGCGACGCCGCGUGGGUGAUGAAGGCCUUCGGGUUGUAAAACCCUUUCGUGCGGAAGGAAUAGUCCUGUAGCGAAUAACUACGGGAUUUGACGGUACCGCAGGAAGAAGCACCGGCUAACUCCGUGCCAGCAGCCGCGGUAAUACGGAGGGUGCAAGCGUUGUUCGGAAUUAUUAGGCGUAAAGGGCGCGUAGGUGGUUGUGAUAGUCAGAUGUGAAAUCCUUCGGCUCAACCGAAGAACUGCAUCUGAAACUUCAUAGCUCGAGUACAGGAGAGGGAAACGGAAUUCACGGUGUAGAGGUGAAAUUCGUAGAUAUCGGGAGGAACACCAGUGGCGAAGGCGGUUUCCUGGCCUGAUACUGACGCUGAGGCGCGAAAGCGUGGGGAGCAAACAG